UCGAGCGCCCCGCAAGGGGAGCGGCAGACGGGUGAGUAACGCGUGGGAACGUACCCUUUACUACGGAAUAACGCAGGGAAACUUGUGCUAAUACCGUAUGUGCCCUUCGGGGGAAAGAUUUAUCGGUAAGGGAUCGGCCCGCGUUGGAUUAGCUAGUUGGUGGGGUAAAGGCCUACCAAGGCGACGAUCCAUAGCUGGUCUGAGAGGAUGAUCAGCCACAUUGGGACUGAGACACGGCCCAAACUCCUACGGGAGGCAGCAGUGGGGAAUAUUGGACAAUGGGCGCAAGCCUGAUCCAGCCAUGCCGCGUGAGUGAUGAAGGCCCUAGGGUUGUAAAGCUCUUUCACCGGAGAAGAUAAUGACGGUAUCCGGAGAAGAAGCCCCGGCUAACUUCGUGCCA
This 400-nucleotide ribosomal RNA is filed under the name bacterium S3-002-16S. RNAcentral describes it as "bacterial SSU rRNA". It matches the Rfam family "Bacterial small subunit ribosomal RNA", at positions 62 to 510 of the family's 1533-position model. The record is from RNAcentral.